ACGAACGCUGGCGGCGUGCUUAACCCAUGCAAGUCGAACGGAAAGGCCCUGCUUUUGUGGGGUGCUCGAGUGGCGAACGGGUGAGUAACACGUGAGUAACCUGCCCUUGACUUUGGGAUAACUUCAGGAAACUGGGGCUAAUACCGGAUAGGAGCUCCUGCUGCAUGGUGGGGGUUGGAAAGUUUCGGCGGUUGGGGAUGGACUCGCGGCUUAUCAGCUUGUUGGUGGGGUAGUGGCUUACCAAGGCUUGACGGGUAGCCGGCCUGAGAGGGUGACCGGCCACAUUGGGACUGAGAUACGGCCCAGACUCCUACGGGAGGCAGCAGUGGGGAAUAUUGCACAAUGGGCGGAAGCCUGAUGCAGCAACGCCGCGUGCGGGAUGACGGCCUUCGGGUUGUAAACCGCUUUCGCCUGUGACGAAGCGUGAGUGACGGUAAUGGGUAAAGAAGCACCGGCUAACUACGUG
RNAcentral lists this ribosomal RNA (466 nucleotides) under uncultured bacterium. RNAcentral's name for it is "partial 16S ribosomal RNA". It matches the Rfam family "Bacterial small subunit ribosomal RNA", at positions 29 to 507 of the family's 1533-position model. The record is from RNAcentral.